UGGGGAAUAUUGCACAAUGGGCGAAAGCCUGAUGCAGCGACGCCGCGUGAGGGAUGACGGCCUUCGGGUUGUAAACCUCUUUCAGCAGGGACGAAGCGAAAGUGACGGUACCUGCAGAAGAAGCGCCGGCCAACUACGUGCCAGCAGCCGCGGUAAGACGUAGGGCGCAAGCGUUGUCCGGAAUUAUUGGGCGUAAAGAGCUCGUAGGCGGCUUGUUGCGUCGACUGUGAAAACCCGUGGCUCAACCAUGUGGUCUGCAGUCGAUACGGGCAGGCUAGAAUUCGGUAGGGGAGACUGGAAUUCCUGGUGUAGCGGUGAAAUGCGCAGAUAUCAGGAGGAACACCGAUGGCGAAGGCAGGUCUCUGGGCCGAUAUUGACGCUGAGGAGCGAAAGCGUGGGGAGCGAACA
This 408-nucleotide ribosomal RNA is filed under the name uncultured bacterium. Its description in RNAcentral is "bacterial SSU rRNA". It matches the Rfam family "Bacterial small subunit ribosomal RNA", at positions 355 to 774 of the family's 1533-position model. The record is from RNAcentral.